CAGCCUCCGAGCGGAUAACAUUUUCCUUUUGAAAUACCAACGGUUUUUGAAAAAUUCUUUUCGUCUAUAAUUUUUCCUUCUAAUUAAAAAAAAAAAUAAAUUUUUUUUGAUUUUUGUUUUUUUUUUCUGUUUGGUUGGUAUUAAAAAAAACCAAAAUGAAGUUAUAAUCAAAUUGAUGUAAAAAACUAAGAAAAUAUUAAUGGUGUAAAAUAAUUAAAAUAUUUUAAUUUUAAUUGAAUUAUAAAUACAAAAUGCUCAAGUUAAUGAAAAUAGUUUUAAUUAAUAAAAAAACUUUAAAUAAAAAUAAAAUAAAAACAUAAUUUUAAUUUACAAAUUAUAUAUUUAAUGGAAAAUAAUAAAAUAAAAUUAAAAAAUAGAAAUAAAUUUGAAAAAAAAAGUGAAGAACUGUUAAUUAAACAAAAAAACUAUUGUUAAAAGUUUUUGUGUUAAUGAUUUCGCGUCUGUGCCCAAAAUAAACUCUAAAUAUCGAAAAAACUUUAAUUAAAUUUGGAAUAAAGAGAAAAAUCUUAUAACACAAAUAAUUUAGAGAACCUCAAACUGGCUUUUGGAUUUCUAUCAACCUGUACUAAAUAUUACAAAAAAGGUAAACAAUAUGUGAUAAAAUUAUCCUUAAUGGCAAUUUACAUGUGAGUAUAUGUAUAUAUAUGUAUAUAGUUGAAAUAUGAAUAAUAAUUAUAAAAUAUUUACAAAAUGU
Condylostylus longicornis is the source of this 715-nucleotide long non-coding RNA. RefSeq lists it as uncharacterized. The transcript is spliced from 4 exons. The record is from RefSeq and is a predicted model, not a curated record. NCBI's taxonomy places the organism in Eukaryota, Metazoa, Arthropoda, Insecta, Diptera, Dolichopodidae.